Molecule: long non-coding RNA, 506 nt
Organism: Arabidopsis thaliana (thale cress)
Lineage: Eukaryota; Viridiplantae; Streptophyta; Magnoliopsida; Brassicales; Brassicaceae
Product: other RNA
Exons: 1
Source: RefSeq
UCAGCAACACGCAAAGUGAAUUCGCGUUUACAAUAGCAGACCUCGAUUCUUCUGCUCCUACUACAGAACCGGAACCUUAUCGUCUCCGAAGAACUGUACUGUUUAGGCUCGAAGUGGUUGUGGAUCAUACACCAGCAAGCACUACUGUUCUUAAGCAAUGGCAACAACAAAAAAACAACAACAACAAUUGGGGUAUAAUUUAAACCCUUCUUUGGUGAGAGGUAUUUUCGAGAAGCUCCACGAUUCCAAGUGCUUUUGUAAAGCCCUAGAAGUAUCAGAGUGGUUGAUUGAAAAUAGGAUCUGUAAUAGCCUCCCGGAAGAUUACACAGUUUGAUAUCAGAUAAGUUUAUACCUUGGGUGAAGAGAGACGAGAUAAAGAAUGAAGAGUAUUGAAGUGUAAUAAGCUCUUUGUUGAAGCUUGAAGAUGUAGAAGGAUCUUCAAUAACCACCGUUAAUGGUUAAUUUGGUCACUACAUGCAAUGUAGCCGAAGGAAAUAUUAUCAUAU